Long non-coding RNA from Felis catus (domestic cat), 2319 nucleotides. RefSeq lists it as uncharacterized. The record is from RefSeq and is a predicted model, not a curated record. Lineage: Eukaryota; Metazoa; Chordata; Mammalia; Carnivora; Felidae. The transcript has 3 exons.
CUUCAGGGGCUUGGGCUGAGAAGCUCAGAGCCUGGAGCCGCCUGGCCCUUGACCACACAGGGAGGCCAGCAGUGCUCUGCCUGGGACUCGGGCCUGUGUACUCCCCUCAGCACCUCACCGUGGGCUGUGUCCUGGAGCCUGCUGUAGCUCCCCACGCCGGUCCCACCCGGGGCAGGCGGGUAAUACCCACACCUCUUCCAGGCUGUUCUCUGCACCGGGUCCUCACACUGCAGAUCACCAUUUCCACAGAAAACAGGAACGAGCCUGGAAAACCCCAAACCUGGUUACCCAUUAACCCAGCCCUGAGCGAGGGCCAAGGGGACGGGCCUCGUUUUCUCACCAGAGCUGGUUACAGUUAGUCCAGGGGAGGCACACGGGUUUCAUCUUGUGGGCCAGUCUUGAUUAGUUAAGUUCUGGGUAGAGUGUCUUAACGAGGGGGAAGUGGGCGGUAAGCUAUCAGUGAUGUUUCCAGUAAUCAGUAAAGGGGCAGGGGAAAGGAAAAGCUGUUCUUUAAAUUCCUGUAACAUGGGCCUAAUAUUUAGGGAGUUUGAGGAUCGGCACAAGCGUGGUAUAUACAGCUGAAGCAGUCGUACAAGUAGCUUGUGUGGAGUCUAUUCAUUUAUUCAGGAAAUAAUUUUCCCGUGCCUACCAUGUACCAGUCACUAAGCUCAGUGUGAGCGAUAAAAAAAUGGAAACAAACAGGUUCUUUAACCCUCCUGUCCUAUUCAGCUGGGGCCGCCAUAACAGAACACCACAGACUGGGUGGCUUCAACAGAAAUGUAUUUUCUCACAGUUCUGGAGCCUGGAAAUCUAAGAUUAAAGGUCCAGCCGAUUCAGUUCCCAGCGAUGGCCCUCUUCCUGGCUUGUAGACAGUCACCUUCUCACUAUGUCCUUCCAUGGCCUUUUCUCUGUAGGUAUGCUUGGUGUGGAGGAAGCGGGGAGAAAGCUGUCAGCGCAGACCCCAAUGCAGAGCUUGAACUUACAAGGCAUGAGAUCAUGACCUGAGCCGAAGUCAGACGUUUAGCCGACUGAGCCAUCCAGAUGUCCUGAGAGAGACAGAGAUUGACAGAGAGAGAUCUUUCCCUUCUAACGCCAUCAAUCCUAUUAGAUUUGCACCCCAUCCUUCAUUUAAUCUUAAUUACCUCCUAAAGACUAUAUAUCUCCAAAUACAUUGGGGGUUAGAGCAACUUAUGAAUUUUGGUGGGAGGGGACACAAUUCAGUCCAUAGCACAUGCCCUUAUGGAGAUUAUCACCUCAUGAAGGUUGACGAUUCAACAGUAUAAACAUGUAAACAGAAAUAUGGUUACGAGUCCUACUGAAAAAUAAACAGGGUGCUGUGACAGAGCACAGCAAGAGAACUUAAUUCAUACAGGGUGAUAAGUGCUCUCUGGGGAUAUGACAUGCAGUUUUGGACCUGAAGCAUAAGAAAUAGCCAUUCAAUGAGAAGGAUGUUCCUGGAAAAGAGACCCACAAGUGCAAAGGCCCUGAGGUAGGAAAGAAUUUAGUAUGUUUAAGGAAUUGAAAGGAUGGCUUUUGCUUCUAAAGAUCUUUCUGGUUUCUUUGUGGAGAAUAAACAAUAUGGAAAGAAGGGCGGAGGAGGUAAACCAAUUCCAAGGCUUUUCUGUCUUCCAGGCAAACGAUGACGGUGGUUGGAAGUAGAAUAGUAAAAGCAGAAACGGUGAGAAGUCGAUUGAUCCUGGUGUAUAUCUCUUGAAGCUGGAGUCGAUGCCUAUUAGUAUGCCACUGAAGAGCCUGCAGAAGGAGCCGUGGCGAAGCCAGCAAGUUAUAGGAAAGGUCUUUGAAGUCCUGCGCGUUCAGCUGACAGAUGGAAAAGAGAAAGGAUCAUACGAGAAGUUUGUAUGGGCCAGGCCUAGAAGAGAUAGUAUCACUUCCACUCAUAUUUCAUUGGCCAGAUCUCAGUCUCAUGUCUACACAACAACAGCCCCAGCUGAGGUCCCCACUGACACCAGGAUCAAGCACCUGAUGUAUGUGUGAAGAUGGUUCCAGAUGAUGUUAGCUCUCAGUGUCAGAUUUUCCCAGACAUUGAGGAACUGAGAGAAGCCACCCCCCUCAACCUUAAGGAAACCCUACAGUUGCAUAAACUCUAAUCCCUUGAUGAAUUCCUUUUUCUAUAUUAUUCAUACUGUUUCCGCUUAUUUGUUCCAACCCUGACUGAUACAAACCAUGAACUCUGGCCGAACAUGCUUGCCAUUCUGAAUGGUACAAGGGCCACAGAAGGUGGGCACCUUUAACUUCUAAUAAAAUUGGGGUACUUUUUAAUUCAACAUUUAUAUUACUAGUAAUUAUUAAUAUCUUUAA